ACAUGCCUACAACAUAGCGUUAAUGAACUAGAUCUCAUUAGAAUUUCGUAGUUAAGAAUGCCUAGGCUAGAGUAGUAUUGGGAUGGGUGACUGUCGAGGAAGUCCUAGUAUUUUACAUGCC
Picea glauca (white spruce) is the source of this 121-nucleotide non-coding RNA. Lineage: Eukaryota; Viridiplantae; Streptophyta; Pinopsida; Pinales; Pinaceae. The record is from Rfam.